AGACAGGCAGAGGCAGAGGCAGAGGCAGAGGCAGACAGGCAGACAGGCAGACAGGCAGACAGGCAGACAGGCAGACAGGUAGACAGGCAGACAGGCAGACAGGCAGAGGCAGAGGCAGACAGGCAGACAGGUAGACAGGCAGACAGGCAGACAGGCAGAGGCAGGCAAAUCUCUAGAUUCAAGGUCAGCCUUGUCUACAGAGUAAGUUCCAGGACAACCAGGGUUGGACAGUGAAGGAAACCAUGAAACAUAGAGAGCUGAUGAAGAGGUGAUUGUGCACAACUUGGCAGUUUUGGCCACAUGGUUCUACCUAUAAAGUCAAGGCUAGAAGAAAGGGGUUAUGGAAUCUUUGUUCAUAACUAAGGAAAGCCUCUGAGGCUAGGCAUGAGGCAGGGGUGUCCCUGCAUGGAGGUCCAGAGAGGCCGUGUGUGAAGCUGUGAAGGUGAAGCCUGGAUUGCCUUAACCUGAAGAUGUUGGAGAUACCAGAGCCUUGGAAUACCUGCUGAGGAAAACUGAUAUCAAUAUAAUUGGAGGAGAAGAAAGCCUGUGUAACAAGCAACUGACUCUUGGCUUUGACAGAAGACUCUACGCAAGCUCAUCUUGACAUCCUUUUUGUGCUGGGAAGCUGUGAUGGGGAAACUCCAUUAUAGAGCUGGCUUUCCACAUCUCUGCCUCAGCAGCUAGGGCUUCUGGGAAACACAGAAGCACCAAGUAUGGUCUGCAGAGGAACUGGGAGAAAGAGUGGAUACUUGUCAGGGAGGGGUUGUUUAUAUCUGAACAGGUUUCCCUCUUAGUCCUUGUUUCUUCUUUCUCUGUGAUCUGCUCGCUAUCAUAGGAUUAAUUCCAGUCUCUUGGUUGCACUCCACAAAAUACCACUUAUGAAGUGAACCCCAGAGAGCUGGCUGGUGACAUUGCCCCAAAUAAAUUGUAUCAUUUUCUGAAA
Molecule: long non-coding RNA, 943 nt
Organism: Mus musculus (house mouse)
Lineage: Eukaryota; Metazoa; Chordata; Mammalia; Rodentia; Muridae
Product: RIKEN cDNA 1700017M07 gene
Exons: 2
Source: RefSeq, a predicted model, not a curated record